CAGUUCAGGCCACAUGAGUGUUGGGCCAAACACAAUCCCAAUGCCCUGCGUUGACAUCAGGUUCUUCAACGACUUGGUGAGAAUCCUGAAAGAAGAACAACAAAACGUUGGAAAUUACAAUGAUUUCAAAUGCUAUUAAGUUCCCCUCCGGCUACAGGAAAUGUGUCGAGCUUCACCAUCUCCAUGGAUACAGGCCAGACAUACUACAACCUGGUCACUUUGAUUACCAGCAAACCUGCCAUCAUUUCAACGAGGACAGACCGGGAUUUAAGAUUUGGAUCCGCCUUUAAGAGACUAUGACUAUGAACACGACUGAGUCAGCCAUGGCGAGACACAUCUGACUUCAUCUCAAAGGUUGGUUAAAAACAACAUGGGUCCCUCAUGUGACUGCUACGUUAGCUCCUCCCAGCGGUCCAAUCAGAAGCCCAUAGUAUAAUGGAUAUCACCAGGUAUAAAUGUGCUGCUAGCCCCUGCGGCCUGUAGCAUUGCACGGUCUUUAUGGCGUGAAAUUAUUACUGGCUAAAGCAGUCAGGGAGUGCAGAGGAGGACAUGUGAUUCAGCUACAAUGCUCUUGGCAAACGGUUGCAAAAGGCUCGGUGGUAAAAGGAGGGGCGUCUCUGCCAAUUUCACAUUGGAACAAAUUUUCACAAAUUUAAAAGUAUAAUAAUAAAGAAAUAUAUAUA
This is a long non-coding RNA of Anguilla rostrata (American eel), 683 nucleotides long. RefSeq lists it as uncharacterized. The record is from RefSeq and is a predicted model, not a curated record. The transcript has 2 exons. Lineage: Eukaryota; Metazoa; Chordata; Actinopteri; Anguilliformes; Anguillidae.